Molecule: ribosomal RNA, 301 nt
Filed under: uncultured bacterium
Lineage: Bacteria
Description: partial 16S ribosomal RNA
Rfam family: Bacterial small subunit ribosomal RNA
Source: RNAcentral
CAGUAGCCGCGGGAACACGGAGGGUGCAAGCGUUAUCCGGAUUUAUUGGGUUUAAAGGGUCCGUAGGCGGAUCUGUAAGUCAGUGGUGAAAUCUCACAGCUUAACUGUGAAACUGCCAUUGAUACUGCAGGUCUUGAGUAAAUUUGAAGUGGCUGGAAUAAGUAGUGUAGCGGUGAAAUGCAUAGAUAUUACUUAGAACACCAAUUGCGAAGGCAGGUCACUAAGAUUUAACUGACGCUGAUGGACGAAAGCGUGGGGAGCGAACAGGAUUAGAUACCCCAUAGUCCCUGUCUCUUAUACA